RNAcentral lists this transfer RNA (54 nucleotides) under Diaea dorsata. RNAcentral's name for it is "tRNA-Leu". The record is from RNAcentral. Lineage: Eukaryota; Metazoa; Arthropoda; Arachnida; Araneae; Thomisidae. RNAcentral also lists the same sequence under 1 other name.
UUAACUAAAGUAUUAAAUUAUUAAUUUAAAUUAAAAUACAUCUUUUCUAUUAAU